This is a transfer RNA of Nomascus leucogenys (northern white-cheeked gibbon), 73 nucleotides long. It matches the Rfam family "tRNA". From Rfam's summary of the family: Transfer RNA (tRNA) molecules are approximately 80 nucleotides in length. The record is from Rfam. NCBI's taxonomy places the organism in Eukaryota, Metazoa, Chordata, Mammalia, Primates, Hylobatidae.
GCCCUCUUAGCGCAGUGGGCAGCGCGUCAGUCUCAUAAUCUGAAGGUCCUGAGUUCGAGUCUCAGAGAGGGCA